CUGGCACCGGUUCACGUCCGCGCAUCCCGCGCCGACGACCCGGCGCC
This is a regulatory RNA element of Nocardioides sp. Leaf285, 47 nucleotides long. It matches the Rfam family "L31-Actinobacteria ribosomal protein leader". NCBI's taxonomy places the organism in Bacteria, Bacillati, Actinomycetota, Actinomycetes, Propionibacteriales, Nocardioidaceae. The record is from Rfam.